RNAcentral lists this ribosomal RNA (253 nucleotides) under uncultured bacterium. Its description in RNAcentral is "partial 16S ribosomal RNA". It matches the Rfam family "Bacterial small subunit ribosomal RNA", at positions 524 to 776 of the family's 1533-position model. The record is from RNAcentral.
UACGGAGGGUGCAAGCGUUAUCCGGAUUCACUGGGUUUAAAGGGUGCGUAGGCGGGCAGGUAAGUCAGUGGUGAAAUCCCCGAGCUUAACUUGGGAACUGCCGUUGAUACUAUCUGUCUUGAAUAUCGUGGAGGUGAGCGGAAUAUGUCAUGUAGCGGUGAAAUGCUUAGAUAUGACAUAGAACACCAAUUGCGAAGGCAGCUCACUACGCGAUUAUUGACGCUGAGGCGCGAAAGCGUGGGUAGCAAACAGG